RNAcentral lists this ribosomal RNA (253 nucleotides) under uncultured bacterium. Its description in RNAcentral is "partial 16S ribosomal RNA". It matches the Rfam family "Bacterial small subunit ribosomal RNA", at positions 524 to 776 of the family's 1533-position model. The record is from RNAcentral.
GACAGAGGUCCCGAGCGUUAGGCGGAAUCACUGGGCUUAAAGCGUGUGUAGGCGGAGUUCUAAGUACCUUGUGAAAUCCCUCGGCUCAACCGAGGAACUGCGCUUGAAACUACCAGACUCGAGGGAGAUAGAGGAAAGCGGAACUGAUGGUGGAGCGGUGAAAUGCGUUGAUAUCAUCAGGAACACCGGUGGCGAAGGCGGCUUUCUGGGUCUUACCUGACGCUGAGGAACGAAAGCUAGGGGAGCGAACGGG